This 517-nucleotide ribosomal RNA is filed under the name Trigonopterus sp. 717 AR-2022a. Its description in RNAcentral is "partial large subunit ribosomal RNA". It matches the Rfam family "Bacterial large subunit ribosomal RNA", at positions 1828 to 2625 of the family's 2925-position model. Lineage: Eukaryota; Metazoa; Arthropoda; Insecta; Coleoptera; Curculionidae. The record is from RNAcentral.
GGCUUGUUGAUUUUAAUUUCAAGUCUGACCUGCCCAAUGAUAUUUAUUUUAAUGGCCGCAGUAUAUUAACUGUGCAAAGGUAGCAUAAUCAUUAGUUUUUUAAUUGGAAGCUUGUAUGAAGGGUUUGAUGAAAAAAUUUCUGUCUCUAGAAAAGUUUAUUAGAAUUUUAUUUUUAAGUGAAAAAGCUUAAAUUUGUAUAGAAGACAAGAAGACCCUAUAGAGUUUUAUAUUUAUAUUUUAUUAAUAUAAUUUAUAUUAAGUAUUUAAUUGGGGUGAUAGAAAAAUUGAUUUAACUUUUUCUUUUUUGUACAUUGAUUUAUGGUUAUUUGAUCCUAGAUUUAGAUUAUAAGAAGAAACUACCUUAGGGAUAACAGCGUGAUUUUUUUUAGAGUUCUUAUCGAAAAGAGAGAUUGCGACCUCGAUGUUGGAUUAAAAUUAAUUGUUGGUGAAGAAGUUUACAAAUUAGGUCUGUUCGACCUUUAAAAUUUUACAUGAUCUGAGUUUAAACCGGUGUGAG